AGAGUUUGAUCCUGGCUCAGGAUGCCUUCUGGCGGCGUGCCUAACACAUGCAAGUCGAGCGAAGCACUUAAGUUCGAUUCUUCGGAUGAAGACUUAUUUUACUGAGCGGCGGACGGGUGAGUAACGCGUGGGUAACCUGCCUCAUACAGGGGAAUAGCAGUUGGAAACGACUGAUAAUGCCGCAUAAGCGCACAGCACCGCAUGGUGCAGUGUGAAAAACUCCGGUGGUAUGAGAUGGACCCGCGUCUGAUUAGCUAGUUGGUGGGGUAACAGCCUACCAAGGCGACGAUCAGUAGCCGGCCUGAGAGGGUGAACGGCCACAUUGGGACUGAGACACGGCCCAAACUCCUACGGGAGGCAGCAGUGGGGAAUAUUGCACAAUGGGGGAAACCCUGAUGCAGCAACGCCGCGUGAGUGAAGAAGUAUUUCGGUAUGUAAAGCUCUAUCAGCAGGGAAGAAAAUGACGGUACCUGACUAAGAAGCACCGGCUAAAUACGUGCCAGCAGCCGCGGUAAUACGUAUGGUGCAAGCGUUAUCCGGAUUUACUGGGUGUAAAGGGAGCGUAGGCGGCGGGGCAAGUCAGAAGUGAAAGCCCGGGGCUCAACCCCGGGACUGCUUUUGAAACUGUUCUGCUAGAGUGUCGGAGAGGUAAGCGGAAUUCCUAGUGUAGCGGUGAAAUGCGUAGAUAUUAGGAGGAACACCAGUGGCGAAGGCGGCUUACUGGACUGUAACUGACGUUGAGGCUCGAAAGCGUGGGGAGCAAACAGGAUUAGAUACCCUGGUAGUCCACGCCGUAAACGAUGAUUAAUGGGUGUCGGGGGUUAUGAACCUUUGGGGCCGCAGCCAAACGCAAUAAGUAUUCCCCCCGGGGAGGACGUUCGCAAGAAUGAAAUCAAAAGGAAUGAGGGGGGACCCGCACAAGCGGUGGAGCAUGUGGUUAAUUUCGAAGCAACGCGAAGAACCUUACCAAAUCUUGACAUCCCUCUGACAGAGUAUGUAAUGUACUUUUCUUUCGGGACAGAGGUGACAGGUGGUGCAUGGUUGUCGUCAGCUCGUGUCGUGAGAUGUUGGGUUAAGUCCCGCAACGAGCGCAACCCUUGUCUUUAGUAGCCAGCAUUUAAGAUGGGAACUCUAGAGAGACUGCCAGGGAUAACCUGGAGGAAGGUGGGGAUGACGUCAAAUCAUCAUGCCCCUUAUGAUUUGGGCUACACACGUGCUACAAUGGCGUAAACAAAGGGAAGCGACCCCGUGAGGGUGAGCAAAUCCCAAAAAUAACGUCUCAGUUCGGAUUGUAGUCUGCAACUCGACUACAUGAAGCUGGAAUCGCUAGUAAUCGCGAAUCAGAAUGUCGCGGUGAAUACGUUCCCGGGUCUUGCACACAGCGCCCGUCA
This 1391-nucleotide ribosomal RNA is filed under the name uncultured bacterium. Its description in RNAcentral is "16S ribosomal RNA". It matches the Rfam family "Bacterial small subunit ribosomal RNA". The record is from RNAcentral.